AGUGAACGCUGGCGGUAGGCCUAACACAUGCAAGUCGAACGGCAGCACAGUAAGAGCUUGCUCUUACGGGUGGCGGGUGGCGGACGGGUGAGGAAUACAUCGGAAUCUACUUUUUCGUGGGGGAUAACGUAGGGAAACUUACGCUAAUACCGCAUACGACCUACGGGUGAAAGCAGGGGAUCUUCGGACCUUGCGCGAUUGAUUGAGCCGAUGUCGGAUUAGCUAGUUGGCGGGGUAAAGGCCCACCAAGGCGACGAUCCGUAGCUGGUCUGAGAGGAUGAUCAGCCACACUGGAACUGAGACACGGUCCAGACUCCUACGGGAGGCAGCAGUGGGGAAUAUUGGACAAUGGGCGCAAGCCUGAUCCAGCCAUACCGCGUGGGUGAAGAAGGCCUUCGGGUUGUAAAGCCCUUUUGUUGGGAAAGAAAAGCAGCAGGUUAAUACCCCGCUGUUCUGACGGUACCCAAAGAAUAAGCACCGGCUAACUUCGUG
This 492-nucleotide ribosomal RNA is filed under the name uncultured bacterium. RNAcentral's name for it is "partial 16S ribosomal RNA". It matches the Rfam family "Bacterial small subunit ribosomal RNA", at positions 29 to 507 of the family's 1533-position model. The record is from RNAcentral.